GCUGCUGUAGCUCAGUGGUAGAGCGCACCCUUGGUAAGGGUGAGGUCGGGGGUUCAAUCCUCCCCAGCAGCACCA
Molecule: transfer RNA, 75 nt
Filed under: Roseovarius sp.
Lineage: Bacteria; Pseudomonadati; Pseudomonadota; Alphaproteobacteria; Rhodobacterales; Roseobacteraceae
Description: tRNA-Thr
Rfam family: tRNA
About the family: Transfer RNA (tRNA) molecules are approximately 80 nucleotides in length. Their secondary structure includes four short double-helical elements and three loops (D, anti-codon, and T loops). Further hydrogen bonds mediate the characteristic L-shaped molecular structure. tRNAs have two regions of fundamental functional importance: the anti-codon, which is responsible for specific mRNA codon recognition, and the 3' end, to which the tRNAs corresponding amino acid is attached (by aminoacyl-tRNA synthetases). tRNAs cope with the degeneracy of the genetic code in two manners: having more than one tRNA (with a specific anti-codon) for a particular amino acid; and 'wobble' base-pairing, i.e. permitting non-standard base-pairing at the 3rd anti-codon position.
Source: RNAcentral